AAGGCUGGCGCUGCUUCCUGGCCGCAGUGUCGGACCCGCCGGGCUCGAUGACGCGUGUUCUCGUUGAGGCCGUGCAGGCGACAGUCGACUGCGCUUUCCACGAGAAGGCGGUGUUCCCCCUGAUCAAGCAGGGCUCAGGCAAGGUGAUAGUGA
Molecule: long non-coding RNA, 153 nt
Organism: Priapulus caudatus
Lineage: Eukaryota; Metazoa; Priapulida; Priapulimorpha; Priapulimorphida; Priapulidae
Exons: 3
Source: RefSeq, a predicted model, not a curated record